RNAcentral lists this ribosomal RNA (456 nucleotides) under Atyaephyra desmarestii. RNAcentral describes it as "partial 16S ribosomal RNA". It matches the Rfam family "Bacterial large subunit ribosomal RNA", at positions 1919 to 2629 of the family's 2925-position model. The record is from RNAcentral. Lineage: Eukaryota; Metazoa; Arthropoda; Malacostraca; Decapoda; Atyidae.
UGUUUUAAAGGGCCGCGGUAUCUGAACCGUGCUAAGGUAGCAUAAUCAAUAGUCUUUUAAUUGAAGUCUAGAAUGAAUGGUUUGACGAGAAAUUAACUGUUUCAAGCGUAUUAAUUCGAAUUUUACUUUUAAGUGAAAAGGCUUAAAUGAAGUGGUGGGACGAUAAGACCCUAUGAAGCUUGUACAUCUUUGUUUUGCUGGGGCGGCGGAGAUAAAUAAUUAACUGUCUAUUAAUUAGAAAUAAUUUUUUUUAGUAAAUUGAUCUUCUAAUAGGGAUUAAAAAAUUAAAGUUACUCUAGGGAUAACAGCGUAAUUCUUCUUGAGAGUUCUUAUCGACAGAAGUAGUUGCGACCUCGAUGUUGAAUUAAAUUUUCUCCAAGGUGUAGCAGCUUUGGUAGUAGGUCUGUUCGACCUUUAAAAUUUUACAUGAUUUGAGUUCAGACCGGCGUGAGCCAG